This 1094-nucleotide long non-coding RNA is filed under the name Podarcis muralis (Common wall lizard). Its description in RNAcentral is "lncRNA (ENSPMRG00000019793.1)". The record is from RNAcentral. Lineage: Eukaryota; Metazoa; Chordata; Lepidosauria; Squamata; Lacertidae.
CCCCUUUUCACUUGGGGCACAGUCUGGGAAAUUGCUCAUUCCACAGAAAGCACCAAGUGAGGUUCGCAAUCUUGGAAAGUACUGCUGAACCAGUAUUUUCACUUCUUCUUUUUUAGUUGGUGGGGGGAGGCAUUCUCAGAGGAGAGGCAAAGAGAAACCAUGCCUGGAAACUGGCAAGAAGGGAAAUGUUUGUGAAAUUGUGGGGGCUGAAAUGAGUAGCACACCUAGUUUAAUAACUCGAGGGGGUACCUGACAGUUGUCAUUAUUUUCUUCCUGUUAAGAGACUAAAAAAAGGGGGGUAAAGGAAUUUAGCACCACUCUUAGGCAUCUUCUCCAGCUUCCUGGCUGGCUAAAAGGUAAAGGGACCCCUGACCAUUAGGUCCAGUCAUGGCCGACUCUGGGGUUGCGGCGCUCAUCUCGCUUUAUUGGCCGAGGGAGCCAGCAUACAACUUCCCAGUCAUGUGGCCAGCAUGACUAAGCUGCUUCUGGCAGACCAGAGCAGCGCAUGGAAAGGCCGCAAGUAUUUAUCUACUUGCACUGGUGUGCUUUCAAACUGCUAGGUUGGCAGGAGCAGGGACCGAACAACGGGAGCUCAACCCUUCGUGGGGAUUCGAACCACUGACCUUCUGAUCGGCAAGUCCUAGGCUCUGUGGUUUAACCCACAGCGCCACCCGCGUCCUCCGGACUGGCUGCACACCCUCAAAUGCCAAGAUCUCUCCACCAAGUCAGCAGGAGCUCGGCUCUAUCAAGCAUCCCAGGGAGAAGGGGUUGUUUAAGAGCCUUAUCUGGGCCAACCAGCUGGGGGAACAUGGAUGGUAUCACAAGCCAGUAAACCAUCCCUUUAACUGCCGCACUAAAUUCUGUGCGACUCCAACCCCUCUUUGUCAUAGAGGUGACUGGAAACCUUUGAGCAACAAAAUGUCAAAGAGAUAUAUAUCAUUCCACUUUAUGGGGCCGGAUCGGAGAGGCUCUGGGAAACUUCUUUGAACUUUUCCUCCCUGCACAUACCUGUCACAUUGGGAAAGCCAAAGGAGUUCAAUUUACACCAGAUGCAUGUAAAAACUAAUCAGUACUUCUUUUUCUGGCUGUGCUCG